RNAcentral lists this ribosomal RNA (51 nucleotides) under Ficus craterostoma. RNAcentral describes it as "partial 18S ribosomal RNA". Lineage: Eukaryota; Viridiplantae; Streptophyta; Magnoliopsida; Rosales; Moraceae. The record is from RNAcentral.
ACCUGCGGAAGGAUCAUUGUCGAAACCUGCCCAGUAGAAAGACCGGCGAAC